RNAcentral lists this unclassified non-coding RNA (373 nucleotides) under Bombus terrestris (buff-tailed bumblebee). RNAcentral describes it as "misc RNA ENSBTSG00005037008.1". Lineage: Eukaryota; Metazoa; Arthropoda; Insecta; Hymenoptera; Apidae. The record is from RNAcentral.
CAAUUAGAGGCACUGAAGUGUGCAAAAAUAUGUCACCAAGUCACUGAUGCGCCCUUCAUCAUGGACGAUAUAAGAACCGGGCGCGAGGCGACAGAAAUAUGUAUUGCUAGUCGAUCGUAGCAGGCCGUGCCGAACAGUUCCAGCGCAGCGCAAGAACGGGAAUGUUAAUGCCGCAUCAAGAGUUAUGAUAAAUGGUGUGAUUUUGCAAGGGGCGCGCGAAGAAAUAUGUUACUGUCGCUCCACAGACGUAGAAGAAAUAGCUCUUAAUAGUGUAGAGACGUGGUUUGAUCGGUACGCAAUUGCGGUAAUUUUUAAAACAUUCUUAUUAUUUGUCUGACAGUAGGAUUCAAAAUGAGAUUUAAGAUAGAAUUCC